Long non-coding RNA from Sardina pilchardus (European sardine), 1100 nucleotides. RefSeq lists it as uncharacterized. The record is from RefSeq and is a predicted model, not a curated record. The transcript has 7 exons. Lineage: Eukaryota; Metazoa; Chordata; Actinopteri; Clupeiformes; Clupeidae.
CGCAGUCCUGGUGGUUGGGCAUCAACCACAGCCAAAACGCGGAAGCAACGUGGAUUUUACGUGCCUACGUUUAUGUCAAACACAUCGUGAUUGGCUCAUGAAUGAGCAGAUACGUGAAACACGCUGCACAUAGCCAUAUGGAGAAAGGUGAGUGUUGAUCAUUUGUUUGGUACCUAUUCCCCCAAGAGGGGUGCCAGUGUCCUGAUGCUGACCAGUGCCACCGGUUCCGCCACUUGCUUCCUGCUGGAGCCUUAGCACCAACUGGAUGAGGGGACUCCUCUCUGUGUUGAAUUCCCGGCUGUCUAAGGCUUUGAAGUGGAGAGUGGUGUCAAACUACAAGACCGCCAGCAUGUAAACAAGGCCUUGUUUGUCCUUGUUUGGCUACUCACCACUCUUCUACUUCCUGAAGAGGCUGAAGCAUGCUGGCCUUGACAUCUCAGUCCUUGCUUCCAUUAACAGCUGUGUUAUGGUCUACUGCAAUGGGUGGAUAAGGAGGGCAAAUGGCAGGCAGUGUGCUGUGAGGACUGCUGCCCUGAUUCAUACGGAAGAACCAAGCCCGCAAAUGCUUUGGGGAGUGAGACCGCCGGUAUACCCACCUACAGUAUAUUGAUCCUGACAUCAGUGCCAAAUAUUUCUUGAUGGCAAUUGGUCGAAAAAAGCACGGGUGUAUCAUGGCCCAAAUAUGCUGAGGAAUGCAGGCUGCCUUGGUGGGCUUAGGAGUUGCCUUUCACUUCAGUCAGUGACGGAAAAGGUCCAGGACGUAAGGCUUUUACAGCUGAAAAGCUGAGACAGCUUGUGCAGUCCUACAAUGCACAUGUCAAUGAUCAGCUGUUUGUUGAGGCAGCGGCAGCAGAUGCAGCACCAACACCACCAGCAGCAGCAGCGGCAGGAGCAGCACCACCAGCACCACCAGCACUAUAAAUGCCAGCAGCGGCAGAUUAUAAAGAAGGAUAACAAUGAAUACAUGAAAUUAGAGUGGGAAGUUGUGCUUUUAUGUUUCAUGUUUAUGGUUUUAUAUAUAUAUGCACCUUACUUGAGCGUCUCUACAAAUUCAUUAUACUGCAAUGCAAUUACAAUAAAGGCAUUAAUUUGUCACUUCA